GCAAUGUGAGAAAUCGCGACGGGGGGAUCCCAAGUGCCAUUCUUAACGGGAUGGCUUUUCAUUAGUGUAAAGAGCUUUUGGAAUAAGGGCUGGGCAAGACCGGUGCCAGCCGCCGCGGUAACACCGGCAGCUCUAGUGGUAGCAGUUUUUAUUGGGCCUAAAGCGUCCGUAGCCGGUUUAAUAAGUCUCUGGUGAAAUCCUGUAGCUUAACUGUGGGAAUUGCUGGAGAUACUAUUAGACUUGAGACCGGGAGAGGUUAGAGGUACUCCCAGGGUAGAGGUGAAAUUCUGUAAUCCUGGGAGGACCGCCUGUUGCGAAGGCGUCUAACUGGAACGGUUCUGACGGUGAGGGACGAAAGUUAGGGGCGCGAACCGGAUUAGAUACCCGGGUAGUCCUAACCGUAAACGAUGCGGACUUGGUGUUGGGGUGGCUUUGAGCUGCUCCAGUGCCGAAGGGAAGCUGUUAAGUCCGCCGCCUGGGAAGUACGGUCGCAAGACUGAAACUUAA
This 507-nucleotide ribosomal RNA is filed under the name uncultured archaeon. RNAcentral describes it as "bacterial SSU rRNA". It matches the Rfam family "Archaeal small subunit ribosomal RNA", at positions 352 to 859 of the family's 1478-position model. The record is from RNAcentral.